Molecule: long non-coding RNA, 1029 nt
Organism: Rhinolophus ferrumequinum (greater horseshoe bat)
Lineage: Eukaryota; Metazoa; Chordata; Mammalia; Chiroptera; Rhinolophidae
Exons: 4
Source: RefSeq, a predicted model, not a curated record
GAAAACAUCCUAUCUUACCUUCUCCACCUCUCUGUUCUCUUCAUUUUUGGUUCCCUAUAUGGGGAAAUUCCAUCUGCUGAGCUCAAGACGUGAUCCAUAAACCAUAACAGCACCUGUCCCCACUCCAAUUGUGCUUGAUUAUCUUCCAGAGGAGCUUUCUGAAAGAAUCUUUUUCUAAACCCAGGCCUAACCCUUCCAUUUGAGAAUCCCAGGGCAAGAGCUCUUGUGGAGUCCCACAGAUCACUGUGCCAUCGGUAUUGUGUAUGUGUCUUUCCUGGUAAAAUGUCAAGUUUGUGUUUUCCUGAUGUAUUUGUAAGAUCAUCUGAGGUACCAAGACAGGAGAUAUUGGCCCCCAAUUGAUGAGACAGCUGAGGUUCAGUGAGGUCUAGUUGUGGAGGGCGCAGCUCACUGGCCCAUGUGGGAAUUGAACUGGCGACCUGUGUAUUACAAGCACUGCGCUCUAACCGACUGGGAGCCAACCGGCCGCCCCAAACCCUACACUUUAAUACACUGACCUCCGGGCGUGUGUCCAAAGCAGAUCAAGAGAACCAACGGACAAGGGUAAGGAACAGAUUCAGGAGCUGGCUGUUGGAUGUCCUGGAAAGAGGCCUGGCUUGGCCUCAGAUGAUGGGGCAGAAAUCCCAGCUGCUUCCCUCACUAAGGUGUGACCCUGGACCAGUAACAGCACAGAAAUGGGACUUAUGGAGGACAAUUAGCAGGGUUUUCACAGUAGAACAACUGGUGCUUUGUUUCAAAGAUAUUGGUGGUGUGGCCAAGGCUUGGGCAUUCUGAACCUUUUCCAACUUCUAUCACCCUUUGAAAAUCUUUGCCUGAACUUAGGAUCCCCUGAGAAACUCCCUUCUCUUGGGAAAGGUGACUCAGAGAUGAGGGCUUUUUAAAUGACUCACAACUGCCUUUGUGGUUUUGAUGUUUAAGAAUGAGACUUGGCGUUGAGGAUGGACCCAGGCCUGGCUGUGAAGGGAGGUUCUGAUGGAUUCCUUGGUGUGAAACCUCCCAGACCAUUGAAAC